Molecule: ribosomal RNA, 441 nt
Filed under: uncultured bacterium
Lineage: Bacteria
Description: partial 16S ribosomal RNA
Rfam family: Bacterial small subunit ribosomal RNA
Source: RNAcentral
CCUACGGGUGGCAGCAGUGGGGAAUAUUGCGCAAUGGGGGAAACCCUGACGCAGCAACGCCGCGUGAGUGAAGACGUACCUCGGUAUGUAAAGCUCUAUCAGCGGGGAAGAAGGAAGACGGUACCCGACUAAUAAGCCUCGGCUAACUACGGGCCAGCAGCCGCGGCAACAUGUAGGGGGCCAGCGUUAUCCGGAUUUAGUGGGGGUAAAGGGGGCGUAGGCGGGGUCGCAAGUCUGAAGGGAAAGUCCGUGGGUACACCGCGGAACCGCUUUGGAUACUGCUUGGCUAGAGUGCUGGAGAGGUAAGCGGAAUUCGUGGUGUAGCGGUGAAAUGCGUAGAUAUCUGGAAGAACACCAGUGGCGAAGGCGGCUUACUGGACAGAGACUGACGUUGAGGCACGAAAGCGUGGGGAGCGAACAGGAUUAGAUACCCUGGUAGUC